AGUGAACGCUGGCGGUAGGCCUAACACAUGCAAGUCGAACGGCAGCACAGUAAGAGCUUGCUCUUACGGGUGGCGAGUGGCGGACGGGUGAGGAAUACAUCGGAAUCUACUUUUUCGUGGGGGAUAACGUAGGGAAACUUACGCUAAUACCGCAUACGACCUACGGGUGAAAGCAGGGGAUCUUCGGACCUUGCGCGAUUGAAUGAGCCGAUGUCGGAUUAGCUAGUUGGCGGGGUAAAGGCCCACCAAGGCGACGAUCCGUAGCUGGUCUGAGAGGAUGAUCAGCCACACUGGAACUGAGACACGGUCCAGACUCCUACGGGAGGCAGCAGUGGGGAAUAUUGGACAAUGGGCGCAAGCCUGAUCCAGCCAUACCGCGUGGGUGAAGAAGGCCUUCGGGUUGUAAAGCCCUUUUGUUGGGAAAGAAAAACAGCAGGUUAAUACCCCGCUGUCCUGACGGUACCCAAAGAAUAAGCACCGGCUAACUUCGUG
This 492-nucleotide ribosomal RNA is filed under the name uncultured bacterium. Its description in RNAcentral is "partial 16S ribosomal RNA". It matches the Rfam family "Bacterial small subunit ribosomal RNA", at positions 29 to 507 of the family's 1533-position model. The record is from RNAcentral.